UCGGAUCUGGUGCAUGGUACACGCCUUCUGUCACUAGGUUUUGAACACACCAUCCUACAUGAGGGAAUACGGGGUUCAAUUCCCCGGGUCCGAA
Mycena filopes is the source of this 94-nucleotide non-coding RNA. The record is from the annotation of a GenBank genome assembly. NCBI's taxonomy places the organism in Eukaryota, Fungi, Basidiomycota, Agaricomycetes, Agaricales, Mycenaceae.